UACGUAGGGUGCGAGCGUUAAUCGGAAUUACUGGGCGUAAAGCGUGCGCAGGCGGUUCGUCAAGUCAGGUGUGAAAUCCCCGGGCUUAACCUAGGAAUUGCGCUUGAAACUAGCGGGCUUGAGUGUGGCAGAGGGGGGUGGAAUUCCACGUGUAGCAGUGAAAUGCGUAGAGAUGUGGAGGAACACCGAUGGCGAAGGCAGCCCCCUGGGUCAACACUGACGCUCAUGCACGAAAGCGUGGGGAGCAAACAGG
Molecule: ribosomal RNA, 253 nt
Filed under: uncultured bacterium
Lineage: Bacteria
Description: partial 16S ribosomal RNA
Rfam family: Bacterial small subunit ribosomal RNA
Source: RNAcentral